This 572-nucleotide ribosomal RNA is filed under the name uncultured bacterium. RNAcentral describes it as "partial 16S ribosomal RNA". It matches the Rfam family "Bacterial small subunit ribosomal RNA", at positions 355 to 1375 of the family's 1533-position model. The record is from RNAcentral.
UGGGGAAUAUUGCACAAUGGGCGAAAGCCUGAUGCAGCAACGCCGCGUGAGGGACGACGGCCUUCGGGUUGUAAACCUCUUUUAGCAAGGAAGAAGCGAAAGUGACGGUACUUGCAGAAAAAGCGCCGGCUAACUACGUGCCAGCAGCCGCGGUAAUACGUAGGGCGCAAGCGUUAUCCGGAAUUAUUGGGCGUAAAGAGCUCGUAGGCGGUUUGUCGCGUCUGCUGUGAAAACCCGAGGCUCAACCUCGGGCCUGCAGUGGGUACGGGCAGACUAGAGUGCGGUAGGGGAGAUUGGAACUCCUGGUGUAGCGGUGGAAUGCGCAGAUAUCAGGAAGAACACCGAUGGCGAAGGCAGAUCUCUGGGCCGUAACUGACGCUGAGGAGCGAAAGGGUGGGGAGCAAACAGGCUUAGAGUGACCCCUGGUAGUCCACCCCGUAAACGUUGGGAACUAGUUGUGGGGUCCAUUCCACGGAUUCCGUGACGCAGCUAACGCAUUAAGUUCCCCGCCUGGGGAGUACGGCCGCAAGGCUAAAACUUGAAAGGAAUUGACGGGGUCAUAGCUGUUUCCU